GGCGGCUGUACGCAGCGGUACCGAAAGGCGUUGCGCUACGCCAUUCUCGGAAAGGGCAGCGCGAGAAACGCACGUUGAGCCUGCACGCUGUUCUUCACUUUUCACCGACUCGAUUGCUGUGAUAUUAGAUUGUUUUAUAUCCUCCUUACUGGGAACGAGGAAGUCACAAGUACCAUGGAGGACGACCAGCAGUUUUGCCUCAGGUGGAACAACCAUCAAAGCACACUCAUACAAAAUUUCGAUACGCUCCUCGAAAGCGGUACGCUGGUCGACUGUACACUUGCGGCGGAGGGGAAGUAUCUCAAGGCCCACAAAGUAGUCCUCUCCGCGUGCAGUCCAUACUUCGAGGGCCUCCUCAGCGAACACUACGACAAGCACCCAGUCUUCAUACUCAAGGAUGUUAAAUUCAAAGAACUUAAAGCAAUGAUGGAUUAUAUGUAUAGGGGAGAAGUAAAUAUUUCUCAAGACCAAUUGGCAGCACUACUCAAAGCCGCUGAGUCUCUUCAAAUUAAGGGCCUUUCGGAUAGUAAAACGGGUGGCAGUAGUAAGACGGAAUCCAGGCCACAAAAAAUUAUCUCGGUACCACCGUUACAGCCGCCAGUAUCAUCGUUAGACAUUCCACAUGCGUCUUCCGGUCUGACGAUAGAAAAGAACAAAGUUCCUAGGCAGGGUAUGACGCAAAGUUCUGUAGGGGAUUUGCCAGAAGACACAGCUAGUCCCCAAAUGCCGAAAAGGAUUUCUUCGAGGGAAGGUUCUCAAAGUCCAACUACGAGAAAAAGAAAGAGGUUUCGAAGAGGAAGUUUGGGCGAGGAUAACACAUUAGAGAACCAAGACACUUCGAAUUCCAGUGACAUGCCUCAACAAAUGAACGUACCAGCGCUCGGAAUCGCUCCUGUGGCAGAUGAGAAAACACACGCAGACGCUAGUGAUUCUCUCGGCAGGUCAGCGCUAAUGACGCAGCUGACGAAACCUGCGGAAGAGAUGUUGCAGCUGCCACUCGAAAAACCCGAGCCAAACGAUAAUCUCAUCGAGCCAAAGUCUGAAUACCUAGAGGAACCUGAGGAGGCCGUCGAAGACCUGACGUUAGACGAUGAUAUAAACGAUCUUAGUGAGAUGGAGCAGGACAACAACCGAGCUGGACCGUCCCACGACCCCGCCCAACAUCCAGCAGGUCUUGGUGCGUGGCACGUCACUGGUGAUCGAAGUAACGCAGGAGGCGUCGUGGGUUCGGUGGCGGGAGCUCCCGGAACGACGGACGAAGUCUUUCUAGCAGCUCAGGAAGCCGCACAACAGGCUCAUCGCGACUCACAAGGUACUCUCGUUGUCUGGGAGGACUAUCAGGUGCUCAGUACGAAUAUAACCAGCAGGUCCAAUAAUUACAUCGAUCGCAAGUUGAGAGUCAAGCGCAUGGAUCAGAUCGCGGGUAGGUACAAGUGCUCCAAAUGCGGCAAGUCGUACCGAUGGAAGCAUCACCUUGUGGAGCACGUGAAGGCCUCCUGCGGUCAAAACAAGGCGGAAUGCUGUCCGUACUGUAGCUACAAGAGCAAUCGCAAAUGGAAUUUGAAGUCGCACAUGAAGAGGAUUCACGCGAGCGUAUAAGAGACGGAGUUUUGAUUAAUAAGAAUGAUUGGAUGUGUGGGAUAGCAUUCACGGACGGUUUCCUUAUGAGUAUCGUUUACGAAGCUCGAGGUACAAAACAAAA
This 1702-nucleotide unclassified non-coding RNA is filed under the name Ooceraea biroi (clonal raider ant). RNAcentral's name for it is "longitudinals lacking protein, transcript variant X9". The record is from RNAcentral. Lineage: Eukaryota; Metazoa; Arthropoda; Insecta; Hymenoptera; Formicidae.